GGGUGAUCUGCCCUGCACUUCGGGAUAAGCCCGGGAAACUGGGUCUAAUACCGGAUAGUACUGCGCGGUGCAUGCCGUGUGGUGGAAAGAUUUAUCGGUGCAGGAUGGGCCCGCGGCCUAUCAGCUUGUUGGUGGGGUAAUGGCCUACCAAGGCGACGACGGGUAGCCGGCCUGAGAGGGCGACCGGCCACACUGGGACUGAGACACGGCCCAGACUCCUACGGGAGGCAGCAGUGGGGAAUAUUGCACAAUGGGCGCAAGCCUGAUGCAGCGACGCCGCGUGAGGGAUGACGGCCUUCGGGUUGUAAACCUCUUUCAGCAGGGACGAAGCGCAAGUGACGGUACCUGCAGAAGAAGCACCGGCCAACUACGUGCCAGCAGCCGCGGUAAUACGUAGGGUGCAAGCGUUGUCCGGAAUUACUGGGCGUAAAGAGCUCGUAGGCGGUUUGUCGCGUCGUCUGUGAAAACCAGCAGCUCAACUGUUGGCUUGCAGGCGAUACGGGCAGACUUGAGUAUUUCAGGGGAGACUGGAAUUCCUGGU
RNAcentral lists this ribosomal RNA (541 nucleotides) under uncultured bacterium. RNAcentral describes it as "bacterial SSU rRNA". It matches the Rfam family "Bacterial small subunit ribosomal RNA", at positions 119 to 674 of the family's 1533-position model. The record is from RNAcentral.